AAACAUCGCCUCUUGCAAAAUUAAUAAAUAAGAGGUCCCGCCUGCCCUGUGACUAUAAGUUUAACGGCCGCGGUAUUUUGACCGUGCGAAGGUAGCGCAAUCACUUGUCUUUUAAAUGAAGACCUGUAUGAAUGGCAUAACGAGGGCUUAACUGUCUCCUCUCUCCAGUCAAUGAAAUUGAUCUUCCCGUGCAGAAGCGGGAAUACACACAUAAGACGAGAAGACCCUAUGGAGCUUUAGACACCAAGACAGAUCAUGUUAAUAACCCUAAAUUAAAGGACUAAACCAAAUGGAACCUGCCCUAAUGUCUUUGGUUGGGGCGACCGCGGGGAAUUGAAAAACCCCCACGUGGAAUGGGAGCACCCCUCCUACAACUAAGAGCUACAGCUCUAGUAAACAGAAAUUCUGACCAGUAAGAUCCGGCAAUGCCGAUCAACGGACCGAGUUACCCUAGGGAUAACAGCGCAAUCCUCUUUUAGAGCCCAUAUCGACAAGGGGGUUUACGACCUCGAUGUUGGAUCAGGACAUCCUAAUGGUGCAGCCGCUAUUAAGGGUUCGUUUGUUCAACGAUUAAAGUCCUACGUGAUCUG
This 590-nucleotide ribosomal RNA is filed under the name Anisarchus medius (stout eelblenny). RNAcentral describes it as "partial 16S ribosomal RNA". It matches the Rfam family "Bacterial large subunit ribosomal RNA", at positions 1811 to 2607 of the family's 2925-position model. The record is from RNAcentral. Lineage: Eukaryota; Metazoa; Chordata; Actinopteri; Perciformes; Stichaeidae.